RNAcentral lists this transfer-messenger RNA (361 nucleotides) under Solirubrobacterales. RNAcentral's name for it is "67-14 sp020438295 Standard tmRNA". It matches the Rfam family "transfer-messenger RNA". Rfam says of the family: Bacterial tmRNA, also known as 10Sa RNA or SsrA, is named for its dual tRNA and mRNA-like properties. Its role is to liberate the mRNA from a stalled ribosome. RNAcentral also lists the same sequence under 1 other name. Lineage: Bacteria; Bacillati; Actinomycetota; Thermoleophilia. The record is from RNAcentral.
GGGGACGACAGGCUUCGACGCAGUCGGUCCGUGCGGAGGGUUGCAGGUCGAGGAUGCCGAUGGCCUCGUAAAAAAUCGGCAAAAACCAAUACGUGCGGACCAUGAGUUCGCCCUCGCCGCUUAGCUGAUACCUAAGCGAUGAGAGUCGGUCCUCCCUCGGCCCGUGGGGAGGGGCACCGGCUUCAGAAACGGGCUCGCCCGCGAGGAGCGCCCCGGCCUCGAGGGGACAUUCAGGGGCUCGGUCUCUCGCAGUGCCCGCCGGCACGGCCCCCGGGAGGCGACAACAAAGCGCCGGCUAAGCCUGUAGAUACUGUUCGUCACGCGGCUGCGGACGCGGGUUCAAUUCCCGCCGUCUCCACUA